UUUCUCCCCUCUUCGCCAACCCUAGCCGUCACCUCACUUGCUUUCUUCUUUACCUCUCUUUCUUCAUCCUUUUUAUCAACAAUACUUUCAGGUUUUUAGCAAUUUUGCUGCUUCAUAAAAAACAAACAAGGAGAUUAAAACUCGAUAGUGCCGCCCACACACCCUUUUUACCGAAGUAGUUGGCUCAGCUUUGGUUGGAAAUAGAUAUAUAUUGAGUGGUUACCGGAAUUAUUCAUAAAAUGAAAUUUGGAUUUAAAAAUGGAUGGCCUUCGAUCGUGCGGUUUCGUCUCAAACAUAAAUCAUUGACACCCUUUUGCAUAUUCUCUAAAUUGAAAUCAGAUGGAAACAAACUUAGGAAUACUCGUGUGUUAUCUCAAUGUCUAUGAUUUUACCACUGUUAGUAUUUUCCAGACUGGACUUAGAGUUUAUGGAGUGGAAUAUGUGUUUGGAGCUCAUAGUCAGUGGUAGCUACUUUUACUGUUGUGACAUUUAUCAAUGGCGAUGCUAUGUUAAUAGAAAUCCAGGAGUGAUUAGAAGCAUGACUAAUCCAUAUUUUUGAUGUUUAUAAACUAUAGGUAUAAAACAGCAACUGCUAAAAAAAACUAUAGUGUAUUCGUAUGAUUAUUUAAUGCAGGAAAGUAACAACCCAUUUUUCCAGAUUUUAUAUUCAAUUCAAUUAUGAAAGAUUAUGGACUUGUAAUGGCUAAUUUAAGAGGUUACAUUCUACUAAGUUUAUACAUAUGAAGAAUUAUAUAUUUUUUACACAUUUGUAAAAAUUUGCGGGGGUCUAUAACCUCUAAAAACAAAAC
Long non-coding RNA from Vicia villosa (hairy vetch), 809 nucleotides. RefSeq lists it as uncharacterized. The transcript has 3 exons. NCBI's taxonomy places the organism in Eukaryota, Viridiplantae, Streptophyta, Magnoliopsida, Fabales, Fabaceae. The record is from RefSeq and is a predicted model, not a curated record.